GACGAACGCUGGCGGCGUGCUUAACACAUGCAAGUCGAACGGUAAGGCCCUUCGGGGUACACGAGUGGCGAACGGGUGAGUAACACGUGGGUGAUCUGCCCUGCACUUCGGGAUAAGCCUGGGAAACUGGGUCUAAUACCGGAUAGGACCACUGCCUGCAUGGGUGGUGGUGGAAAGCUUUUGCGGUGUGGGAUGGGCCCGCGGCCUAUCAGCUUGUUGGUGGGGUGAUGGCCUACCAAGGCGACGACGGGUAGCCGGCCUGAGAGGGUGACCGGCCACACUGGGACUGGGAUACGGCCCAGACUCCUACGGGAGGCAGCAGUGGGGAAUAGUGCACAAUGGGCGCAAGCCUGAUGCAGCGACGCCGCGUGGGGGAUGACGGCCUUCGGGUUGUAAACCUCUUUCAGCACCGACGAAGCGCAAGUGACGGUAGGUGCAGAAGAAGGACCGGCCAACUACGUGCCAGCCGCCGCCGUAA
RNAcentral lists this ribosomal RNA (478 nucleotides) under uncultured bacterium. RNAcentral describes it as "partial 16S ribosomal RNA". It matches the Rfam family "Bacterial small subunit ribosomal RNA", at positions 28 to 523 of the family's 1533-position model. The record is from RNAcentral.